UGGAUGAACGCUGGCGGCGUGCUUAACACAUGCAAGUCGAACGAACCUUCGGGUUAGUGGCGGACGGGUGAGUAACGCGUGAGAAUCUGCCCUCAGGAGGGGGAUAACGGCUGGAAACGGCCGCUAAUACCCCAUAUGCCGAGAGGUGAAACGAAUUUCGCCUGAGGAUGAGCUCGCGUCUGAUUAGCUAGUUGGUGGGGUAAGAGCCUACCAAGGCUUCGAUCAGUAGCUGGUCUGAGAGGAUGAUCAGCCACACUGGGACUGAGACACGGCCCAGACUCCUACGGGAGGCAGCAGUGGGGAAUUUUCCGCAAUGGGCGAAAGCCUGACGGAGCAACGCCGCGUGAGGGAUGAAGGCCUCUGGGCUGUAAACCUCUUUUAUCAAGGAAGAAGAUCUGACGGUACUUGAUGAAUAAGCCACGGCUAAUUCCGUG
This 434-nucleotide ribosomal RNA is filed under the name uncultured bacterium. RNAcentral's name for it is "bacterial SSU rRNA". It matches the Rfam family "Bacterial small subunit ribosomal RNA", at positions 27 to 507 of the family's 1533-position model. The record is from RNAcentral.